This 356-nucleotide transfer-messenger RNA is filed under the name Deinococcaceae. RNAcentral's name for it is "Deinococcus sp009755355 Standard tmRNA". It matches the Rfam family "transfer-messenger RNA". From Rfam's summary of the family: Bacterial tmRNA, also known as 10Sa RNA or SsrA, is named for its dual tRNA and mRNA-like properties. Its role is to liberate the mRNA from a stalled ribosome. Lineage: Bacteria; Thermotogati; Deinococcota; Deinococci; Deinococcales. The record is from RNAcentral. RNAcentral also lists the same sequence under 1 other name.
GGGGAUGACCCGGUUUCGACGGGGUUGGCCGAGCGGGACGUUGCGAGCCGAGGAUGAUCGUGGGCCUCGUUAAUCAUCGAUCAAAGCCUUUAACUGGCAACACCAACAGCACCACCUACGCCCUCGCUGCUUAAGUGAGGCAGUGACCAGAAAGCCCGGCUAUUGGCGUUCUGCGAACUUCUAAAAGAUAGCUAGCUUGAGCCGACGCACCUGAGCACAAGCGAAAUUUAGGCGCUGGGGUCAAAGGAAGCGUGUUCUUGCGCGUCUGAGACCUGAGAUCUAAACCAAGGACUACGCUCGUAGAGACCAACGCCAGGUGACUUCGGACGGCGGUUCGACUCCGCCCAUCUCCACCA